RNAcentral lists this ribosomal RNA (429 nucleotides) under uncultured bacterium. RNAcentral's name for it is "bacterial SSU rRNA". It matches the Rfam family "Bacterial small subunit ribosomal RNA", at positions 355 to 776 of the family's 1533-position model. The record is from RNAcentral.
UGAGGAAUCUUGCGCAAUGGGCGAAAGCCUGACGCAGCGACGCCGCGUGGAGGAUGAAGGUCUUCGGAUUGUAAACUUCUGUUAAGUGGGAAGAAAGGUUUGUCUCUAAUAAAGGCAAAAUAUGACUGUACCAUUAGAGAAAGCACCGGCUAAACUCGUGCCAGCAGCCGCGGUAAUACGAGUGGUGCAAGCGUUAUUCGGAUUUAUUGGGCGUAAAGGGUGCGCAGACGGUAUGUUAAGUCACCUGUUAAAUUCUCUGGCCUAACCAGAGGCAUGCGGGUGAAACUGGCAAACUAGAGGGUGGAAGAGAGAAGUGGAAUUCUCGGAGUAGCGGUAAAAUGCGUAGAUCUCGAGAGGAACACCAAUGGCGAAGGCAGCUUCUUGGUCCAUUUCUGACGUUCAUGCACGAAAGCGUGGGGAGCAAACAGG